Molecule: ribosomal RNA, 253 nt
Filed under: uncultured bacterium
Lineage: Bacteria
Description: partial 16S ribosomal RNA
Rfam family: Bacterial small subunit ribosomal RNA
Source: RNAcentral
UACGAAGGGGGCUAGCGUUGUUCGGAUUUACUGGGCGUAAAGCGCACGUAGGCGGAUUGUUAAGUCAGGGGUGAAAUCCCGGAGCUCAACUCCGGAACUGCCUUUGAUACUGGCGACCUCGAGGCCGGAAGAGGUUAGUGGAAUUCCCAGUGUAGAGGUGAAAUUCGUAGAUAUUGGGAGGAACACCAGUGGCGAAGGCGGCUAACUGGUCCGGGACUGACGCUGAGGUGCGAAAGCGUGGGGAGCAAACAGG